GACGAACGCUGGCGGCGUGCUUAACACAUGCAAGUCGAACGGAAAGGCCCUGCUUUUGUGGGGUUCUCGAGUGGCGAACGGGUGAGUAACACGUGAGUAACCUGUCCCUGACUUUGUGGUAUCUUCAUGAAACUGGGGCUCAUACCGCAUAGGAUCUCUUGCUGCAUGGUGGGGGUUGGUAAGUUUCGGCGGUUGGGGAUGUACUGGCGGCUUAUCAGCUUGUUGGUGGGGUAGUGUCUUACCAAGGCUUUGACGGGUAGCCGGCCUGAGAGGGUGACCGGAGACAUUACGACUGAGAUAAGACCCAGACUCGUAUGGGACGCAACGGUGGAGAGUAUUACAGAAUAGGCGGGAGGCAGAUGUAGCAACGCCGCGUGCGGGAAGACGGGAUGCGGGUGGUAAACCGAUGUGGACUGAGACGAGGAGAGAGUGACGGUAAUGGGUAAAGAAGCACCGGCUAACUACGUG
RNAcentral lists this ribosomal RNA (468 nucleotides) under uncultured bacterium. Its description in RNAcentral is "partial 16S ribosomal RNA". It matches the Rfam family "Bacterial small subunit ribosomal RNA", at positions 28 to 507 of the family's 1533-position model. The record is from RNAcentral.